RNAcentral lists this ribosomal RNA (330 nucleotides) under uncultured eukaryote. RNAcentral's name for it is "partial 18S ribosomal RNA". It matches the Rfam family "Eukaryotic small subunit ribosomal RNA", at positions 1470 to 1796 of the family's 1831-position model. The record is from RNAcentral.
CCCUUAGAUGUUCGGGGCCGCACGCGCGCUACACUGAAGGAAUCAGCACGUCUUUCUCCUUGUCCGAAAGGACUGGGUAACCCGCUGAACCUCCUUCGUGCUAGGGAUUGGGGCUUGUAUUUCUUCCCCAUGAACGAGGAAUUCCCAGUAAGCGCGAGUCAUAAGCUCGCGUUGAUUACGUCCCUGCCCUUUGUACACACCGCCCGUCGCUACUACCGAUUGGAUGGUUUAGUGAGAUCCUCGGAUUGGUCCCGGAGCGGCCUCUGGUCGUGCCGGAGUGCCGAAAAGAAUGUCGAACUUGAUCAUCUAGAGGAAGUAAAAGUCGUAACA